CCCUAGUAUUAAUUUAAUUAAUUGAUUAGUAUAUAAUUGAAAUUUAAUAAUUCUGGCGGUUAAUAAUAAAUUUAGAGGAGCUUGUUGUGUUAGUAAUUACUCUUUAGAUUUUAUUAAUUAAUUGUUUAUUCAUCUCCGUUAUUAGAUUCAAGGUUUGAUAUUUAAUAAGAUGAUAAAACUUAUAUUUCAGGUCAAGAUGUAGCUUUAGAUUAAUGAAAAUUAGCUACAAUUAUGGAAUAAUUGGAUAUAUUUAUGAUAGAGUAGGAUAGAAAUUGAAUUUAAUUGUAGCAUUAAUUAGAAAGUUAAUGCGAAAGAAGAAUUAAUGUA
This 327-nucleotide ribosomal RNA is filed under the name Phalangodus sp. MZSP 73078. Its description in RNAcentral is "partial small subunit ribosomal RNA". The record is from RNAcentral. Lineage: Eukaryota; Metazoa; Arthropoda; Arachnida; Opiliones; Cranaidae.